AAAGAUAUAUAAAUUUAUUACAAAAAAUAAAAUUAUAUAGGUAUUGCCCUUGGGAAAUCAUCUCAGCUAAUUUUGAAAAUAUUUUUGCUAAUUAUGAAAAUAUUUUCCCGUCGAAUUCCCUGAAUCCUGAGCUGUUGUAAAGCGUAGUUUGCGCGAACUAUUGAUGCUUGCGAAACAGUGGUUGACAGGAAAUUCGACGUGACUUGUCCUAUCAACUGUAGUAUAACUAAUGAAAUGUGAGUUGUAAGUUGAUAGAACUUGGGGGAUAAAAAAUUGUCAUUUAAAAGACUGACCAGUGAUAAAAAAUGCAAUGAAUGGCCAUUGCUCAGAUUAUAUGAAAAAUUAUAAAAAAAAAUAUAUAUGAGCUGAGAAAUCCCCCAAGUGGUAAGAUUUUAAGUGAGGUGGAAUUCAAAAGGGGGUAUAAAGGGAGCCUUCAAGUCGCAUGUGCUGAAAAAGUAUUAGAGAGAGAGAGAGAGAGAAACAAAAUGAAUAUAUACAAAUAUGAUGCACAAAACAUAACUGUAAAGUUUGAAUGUAUCUAGAAAAAUAAAACAGCAACUCGUCACAUGGCUGAAUAUUAAGAAAAUUAUAAGGUUCACAUGUGUUUCUUUUCACAUUCCAAGCAGGCUCUAAAUUGAAAUACGCGUUUUUUGGCAAAAAACUCAAUGACACAAGUUCUGUAAACACAGUGAAAUAUAAAUCCA
RNAcentral lists this long non-coding RNA (704 nucleotides) under Mytilus galloprovincialis (Mediterranean mussel). The record is from RNAcentral. Lineage: Eukaryota; Metazoa; Mollusca; Bivalvia; Mytilida; Mytilidae.